AUAAGCUGCCAAAAGACCAAGCAGUGCGAAGCUCUUGGCUGACAGUGGUGCCUGCUAAUUUCCACUGCAAGGAUUUCGUCCACGAAUGUUAUCAUAGGUUACGCGCGACUCCAGAGGCAAUUUGGAAUCUCGGCACGAAAUCGUCUGAUGAAAAUCUGAGGUGCCCGACGCAUAACAUUUUGAACGUGCCACGGAGGAUCAAGGCAAAAAACGAGAGCAAAAAAUGGUGCACGCUGAAGGCGGAAAUGAAGCAUGAUCUGGCUUGCAUCUGGUCAUGAAGAAAUUGCUGACACGUUAGUUGCAGUCCACCUCCACCAACAGGGUGGAAAACAAAGAUCGCCAUUCCGAUUAGCUGCUAUCUCCCAGUUCAAGCACUUUUGUGUCUGGACACUGGUUCCUGUGGAUGGGGUGGUACAAGCUUUACUGUCUGAUAUAGAAGUGAUGAGCAUCCAUAAGGACACAUGCCAGAAAGGGAGUCUCUUUGGGAUGACAAACCCUCAUCACCUCAUGAGGAUACAAUGGUUGACGAAUGGUUCUCAAGCACAUCGAAACUUCCAACAAAUAAUUAAUGAAAAAGCCAGUCAGUGCUAGCACCAGGAAUUGAACGUGGGCCAUCCUGCUACCAGUCAGAGAUGUUCAGUGGUGUAGCCACGAGGGGGCUAGGGGGUCUCGAGCCCCCCCUACCUGCCACGGACCGACCCACACAAAUCGUGCAAAUCCGAGAACAUAAUAUAUGGGGGGGGGACCAGUGUGACUAUCGCGAAAGUUCUUGCAGUUCAUGGCGUCUAUCUAAGAAGCAUUCUUGAAUGGUUUUCAAAGUAUGAGCUUUUCAAAAUACUUCCAAUCUCGUGACACCACUUCAUUGGUCAUGACAGCCUAUACAUGUAAUCGUACUGUGAACAUCUAAAUCAACUAUUUUCGUUCCCUUUUUUAAUCCUCAGUUUGAAGUGUGCACAAGUAUGUGUGUGUUGUCGACACAGGAUCAGCGGG
Long non-coding RNA from Ornithodoros turicata, 990 nucleotides. RefSeq lists it as uncharacterized. The transcript is spliced from 4 exons. The record is from RefSeq and is a predicted model, not a curated record. Lineage: Eukaryota; Metazoa; Arthropoda; Arachnida; Ixodida; Argasidae.